UCCAGAGGGUGCAAUCGUUGUUCGGAAUUAUUGGGCGUAAAGCGCGUGUAGGCGGCUUUGCAAGUCGGGUGUGAAAGCCCUCAGCUCAACUGAGGAAGUGCGCCCGAAACUGCAGAGCUUGAGUGCCGGAGAGGGUGGCGGAAUUCCCCAAGUAGAGGUGAAAUUCGUAGAUAUGGGGAGGAACACCGGUGGCGAAGGCGGCCACCUGGACGGCAACUGACGCUGAGACGCGAAAGCGUGGGGAGAAAACAGG
This 253-nucleotide ribosomal RNA is filed under the name uncultured bacterium. RNAcentral's name for it is "partial 16S ribosomal RNA". It matches the Rfam family "Bacterial small subunit ribosomal RNA", at positions 524 to 776 of the family's 1533-position model. The record is from RNAcentral.